UCCUCACCAUCUGCUGUGACCCAGGUAUCCUAACAAUGAUCGUGGUAUCUGACGUUUACUGAGCUCUCACUAUGUGCUAAGCAUGUGCUGUGUAUCAUCAUCUAAACUCCUGACAAUCCUAUUAGCCCCCAAGUUACAGAGAAAGGGACUGGGGCAUAGCAUAGGGAGGGUGACUUGUCCAAGGCCACAGUUCAAGACCAUGACAGAGCUGGGAUUUAAAUAGAUCUCUCAUGACUCUCCAAAUUUUACAAAGGGGCAGGGGAGGGGAGGAGCUGUCAAAACAUCAAGCUUGGGCUGGCACUGGCUAUAUGUUGAAUUGAGCCUUCCUUUUAGUUUUUGAAGGAACAUCUUUCAGGCCCUCUUGACAAAGGGGGAUUUAUUUACUUCAUGUGACCUGGUUAAUAUAUGUAAAGGUUCAGCCUAGGGCCUAGUCCAGAGAUAGCGGUGGUCAUUGUUACCCCAUAAUGGCAUUGGUGCAAGUCCUUUCUUAUCUAUCCUGUCACAUGCCUCAUAGCCAUUUAUAUAGGCAAGGCAGGCAUUAGGCUGCCCAUCUUGUAGAUGAGUAAACUGAGGCCCAGAGAGGGGAAAUAUGUUGCAGGUCAAUAGCAGAGUUGAGGUCUCUCCACAACUCAAAUAUGCCACAGUGCCUCCUUGUGGAGAGGAGGCCAAAAGCAGGGCUGAAAUCGUUCUCUUGAGGUGUCAGAAGUGGGAUUGCGACCGGGCUGAUGUAAUAUUUUUAGAUAUGGCCAGGAGGACACAGGCUAAGUUUUUAGCUGAGAAGUGUCAUCUAAAAGGCAGAAGGCAGAGACUCUAGAGGACCUUUGAGUUAGAAUGUGUCUGAGAGUAACUCUUCCAACUUCUCACGUAUGUACAGGUAUCUCUAAGGGGCUGACCUAGGAAGGGUCCUUUCCAAUGGCCAUUGAUUGAUCCAGUCCCACAACUGGAAAGCUUACAAGAAUUGGGUUCAGAGGGGAUUACACUUGAUAAUUACAGAAGGACCACCUACUUCUUUUUUUUUUUUUUUUGAGAUGGAUGCUGGGAUUACAGGCGUGAGCCACUGCGCCUGGCCAGGACCACCUACUUCUUAGAGGAAAGAUGGUGGGAGGUUGCUUAGGAUGUGGGCCAAGAGGGUCAGAGAUUUUGCUUCACCUGAACUCAGUGGGGCUUCUCCAGGGAUAUUAACCUGGACUUUAAGGGUCAGAGUGAGUCCCUGGGACUGGUCCAGCCUGUGCAGGAUUCAGACGGGAAGAAGGUGGAGAUUUUUCACCUGGAGAAAGACAGGAAUGUCCCACACAAACCUAAUUUGGCAUUGUCCCCUCCCAAACUUCCACCCCUCCCCAUAGCUUAAAAGUGUUGGGGGCUUCUCCAGUUGAGAUGGGGGAACAAAGAGAACCAACAAGCUGGAAAAAACUAGAGUUGAGGCCUUUGGCCUAGUCAUCAUCCAGGCCGAUUUCUCAGAACCACUACUUUCUCUUCAACUACUUUGCCCAUCCCAUAAUAGAACCCCAAAUCCUUCCUGUUCAUUCCUCAGUAGGUCCCAAGUUUCCUUCCAGAAACUCAGAAGGCAUCAGAAGCUGAAUUGCAAAGUUCUUUAGAGCACAGACUCUGAAUUCAAAGAGCUGAGUUAAACUCCA
This is a long non-coding RNA of Mandrillus leucophaeus (drill), 1634 nucleotides long. RefSeq lists it as uncharacterized. The record is from RefSeq and is a predicted model, not a curated record. NCBI's taxonomy places the organism in Eukaryota, Metazoa, Chordata, Mammalia, Primates, Cercopithecidae. The transcript is spliced from 2 exons.